Vicugna pacos (alpaca) is the source of this 2772-nucleotide non-coding RNA. Lineage: Eukaryota; Metazoa; Chordata; Mammalia; Artiodactyla; Camelidae. The record is from RefSeq and is a predicted model, not a curated record.
UCUCGUUCGCUGUGGCAGAUAUCGGUCGGAGUUUUGGGGAGCUGGCGGCGCCGCCUAUCUCUGGCAGCAGACGGUGGUUUAAAGGAGGUGGCGGGAAGCCGGUGUUUGGUCGAAUUCGUCACCCUCAUGGUCGCCUGGAUAUCACCCUCACAGCCUAUUGGUAAAACAGUGCUGCAUGUUUUGCUUACCCUGAUAAGGGAGGAACACCUCGACAGAGCUUUGGCAGUGUCUCAUGGGGAUAACAGGCAAGAUCGGAAUUUUUUUUUAAAGAAUGGCAAGUUUGGUUUAAAGUGUAUUUUUCAAUUUGGGGGCUUGAUUAGGAUUGGGUAGAGAUCAUGAAAAGCAGUCCAGCACUGGUAGAAAUAGCUGAGCCAAGGGUUUGAGAGAAUCUAGUUGUACCGAUUGUUGAGGCUUCCCACUGAAGAGCUGAUCAGUCUUUUGGAGGGUUCCAUAAUGAACAAUCAAGCCAUUUGGACAAUGAAGAUACUAUUCUGAUUUCCUAGAAUAGUAGAGUCAUGCUGAUGUAAACAAUAAGUUGUGGGGGGAGGCAAGGGGACUUGAUAGUUCAGUCCUCAGUAUCCAACCUGUAUAUGCGGUGAAACAAUUUUGCACCUAUCACAUUUGCAAAAAUUAGAAUUUUGAGUAAUACCAAGUGAAGGCAAAAACAUGGAAAAGAAAUUCUGAUAUACUGCAAGUGGGAAGGUAAACCAGCCUAGCCGUACCCCCCAACCCCAGCCCUACUAUGUCUUGGAGAACAUUUUGGCAGUAUUUAGUGAAAUUAUGUAUGCAUAAAUUGUAUGGCCCAGCAACUACUGUCUGUGUAAAUACCCUUCAAGUCCUUGAGGAGAUGUAAUUGAAAAGUGUCCAUUACAUUAUUUCUGGGAGCAAAGUGCUGAAAAAGGAAACUGAGUGUCUGUCACAAGGAGAAUAGGCACAUCAAAUAUGGUGUAUUAAUGGAAUACUUUAGUCAGAGACAAUGAAGUAUAACACUGAAGUGUAAUAACAUGAAUCAAUUGCAAACAUGUAAAGAAAUAUGUAAACCAUUCAUGCACAAAACUAUAUUUCUUUCAAGACUAUACAGUUGACCCUUGAACAGUGUGGGGAUUAGGGGUGCCAAUCCACCAAGCAGUUGAACAUCCUUAUAUAAUUUAGAGUUGGCUCUCCAUAUAUGUGGUUCUACAUUCACGGCUUCAACCAACCGGGAUUAUGUUGUACUUUAGUAUUUACUCUUGAAAGAAAGCUGCAUUAUAAGUGGACCUGUGCAGUUCAGACCCAUGUUAUUCAAAGAUCAGCUGUAUAUCUAAAACCUGUUAAAGAUAAAAUUAAAGAUGAAUUAAAAAGGCAUGCAUUAAGACACUGCAGUCGGUUCCUGUGGGAGAUGAAAGAAUAAAAUAAGUAAGAGAGGACCUAGCAUGGAUCAAAAAUAGAGUGCCAUGAAAUAGGAAGUGUUAUCACUUCAAUUAUGAACAUGUAAGGUCCUUAAAAAAGAACAGAGUGGUUAAGAAAGGUCAGAUGAUGAAGGUCCUUGUAAGCCAUAUGAAAGAGUUUGAAAUUGAUGCUGAAGGCAUAGGGAUAUUAAAAUCCUGUUGCUCCACAGAGUCCUCUCCACAAGACAUAGAAAAGAAAGCAGUUUUAUUACUGAAUAAGCAUAUUCAGAUUAUAAUGCAUUGUAGGUAAUUUGUGAAUGAGAUUACAAAGACAGACAGAAAUUCUACCCUAUUUAUACAGCUAAGCCAUUAUAACCAUUCUGUUUUUAGCCAUUGCAUAAAUUUUCAAGAUUAACAGCAUCUUGAUGCGUAAAAAGAUUUGACUGCAUCACUUGCUUCAGAUUUUUUCAUAAGGUUCAACCUAAAUUUAUCUGAUAAUGGAGGUAGCCAUUUGUUUUAGCAAAUUACUUUGUCUGCAGGAAUAGUGAAACUUCUCCUAUUUCUGUGCUAAGUGUAUGCUUACAGCUCAGGAAAAGUUCCCUAGGUUUAACUCCCCAGUGACAGGGAGGUUGGAGUGCUAUUUUCCUAGAUGUUUACAUUUGAAAGGAAUGACUCCCAGACCCUGGAGAAAACGUCAGGGUUGUUGCUCAGCUUCCAAUGGGAUCUUUUUAAGAUGGCUGGGUUGGAAGGACAAGGGAGUUGAGGACAUUGGCAAGGGAGUUUUUGAAGUGAUGGAUCAUAGAGCCUGAAAUGGAUGAGGGGAAGAAGCAAAGUGGGAGAGACUGAGAGCUAGAGAGAGAGCAUCAGAGGGCUGAAAGUCUUGAAGAUUAAGGUAUAGUUAAGAGUCUGUGAAUGAGUGUUGGAAGAAUAGCAUAUGAGGUUGUGGUCAAAAAGUAGGAGCAGCAGGGGAGAGAAGAUACAGGUAUCAACAGCCAGGUGGUAAAAGAGUGCAGAUGAAGGUCACUGAAACUCAAGAAACUGAGUCCCCAGGGCAUUGGUUAAAUCAUCCAUCUAAGCUUGAAAAUUGUCCUGGAUGAUAACAGAAUUCAGAAGGCUGAGCCAUAGGCCAGAAUCCUCAGUAAAUGAGAGGUGAGGGAAAUGGACAAUGAGGGGGAAGAAGGAGAGAUUCUAUAACCUCUAUGCUGAUGGAAAGAACCUCAGAGAGGCAAUUGGUUUGUAUCCAGUUGUGGAUGAGUGCGGCUGGUAGUAGCAUCGGGUUUCAAUAAAACCCUUAUUUUUUGUUUUCUUCUUUGUUUUGUUUUUGUUUCUUUUGCCAUCUGCAGUGUGAUUUGUUCCUUUCAUCAAAUGAUUUUUUUAACACAAAUGAAAUUUUUUCUUUUUACAU